CAACAGACAGAGCAGAUUGAGGGUUAAGCAUAUCCAGAACUAUUGCAUCAAAUGUUAAAGAUUUCAUAUCCUCAGCAGCUCUUGAGAUGUCUUUAAGAACAAAAUCCACAUUAUCUGGCCACUCUUCCGUGUGUCCUUUUUUCCACGUAGUGCGCCAAUGCCUGUAAUUCUUCUUUGCUAAGUUGUGAUGGUCAUCUCUGAUUUCGUAACUGAUAACACGUCCCUUGGGCCCAACUUCAAACAACAACAACAAAGUACUAGAUGUACU
This 268-nucleotide long non-coding RNA is filed under the name Gallus gallus (chicken). The record is from RNAcentral. Lineage: Eukaryota; Metazoa; Chordata; Aves; Galliformes; Phasianidae.